Molecule: long non-coding RNA, 32581 nt
Filed under: Sorghum bicolor (sorghum)
Lineage: Eukaryota; Viridiplantae; Streptophyta; Magnoliopsida; Poales; Poaceae
Description: long non-coding RNA (SBIC_LNC014693)
Source: RNAcentral
AGGUAUGCUUACGUGGCUGCUUUUAAUAGAAAUCCUUUUGGUAGUGUUUAUCUGAAAACCCCUGGUUUUCAGUGGGAGGGCCUGAUGAUAAGAAUAUGCAAGUUAUCUCUCAGUACUCUUUUGAUGCAAAAAAAAUCUCUGAAACCCAUUGUUCCCGUUUUAUAUAUAUUAGUAGGAAGUAGCAAUAUUGCUGGGUUAUGUCUAAAUGGUCGCCAGUGAUCACUCGCAUGUGCUUGUCAUUUUAUGAUUUCUUUGUUCCCUGCUUGUCUCUGCAAAUGCUUUUUCCAAUUCAGGAUUUUAUUGCUUAUGGAUUAUCUUUCUGAAAACAGCACAUAGUUAUCUUAAGUUCAUUGCAUCAUUGGCCACGCCCUGAAUGUUUCCUUGUGUUUAAAAUGUUUUGUACUCUAAUUUCACGCAGUGAUUAGAACAAAAAAUUUGAAGCCUAUGUUUCUUUUAAGCUAUUUCUGAAACUUUGAAUAACUAGUGAUGUAACUUUUUUGAAUGUAUUAUCUUGUUUAGAUUAGGUUAGUAUUGUUAGCUUAUCUUGCUUAAAAUAUUUUGAAUCAGUGAAGUUAAUGCGGAUAUCAAUGUUUCUUUCAAACUGUUCCUUGAAUGAAAUCUCUCUCUGUGGAAUCUUGCAGGGUUGGCAGGCAAAUCGUUAAUGUCCCAUCGUUCAUGGUGAGGGUGGAGUCUGAGAAGCACAUUGACUUUUCACUGUCAAGCCCGUUCGGUGGAGGCCCCCCAGGCAGGGUGAAGAGGAAGAACCUGAAGAAGGCAAGUGGCGGUGGCGGCGAUGGUGGUGAUGAGGAUGAGGAGUGAGGAUGAACAAGUAGCAUGGCCCCAAUAUAAUAUUAUCUAGUUUUCAUAAACAUGUUCCUAUCAUGAGUACUUAGCUGGGUGACCAGAUGCUCAGUCCCCUGUGCUGACUCUGCGUCAUGGAUGGUUAUCAUUUUAUCUUGUGUUACUAGCCUAUACUUAGCUGCUAUGUUUGGAGAUGUUUAAUCCUGUGGUUGGUUUUUGACUUAUGCUCUGUUGCUAUUAAGCUGUUCCUGUUUUCUUUUGGCCAAUGAUUUGCUGAAGCAUCAUUCAUAAUCUGCCUCAGUUGCCUUUGGUUGUAUUGAUCGGGGCAUGUGCUGAAAUUUUGUUGCUGUGAGAGUAUUAACGAAUGGUUUGUGGAUAUUUUAUGUGACCAUAAUUAUGCGACGUUGUAGCAUACUGCGGUCGGAUGUGGAUGUUGGUUGAGGCCUUUUUUAAAUUCCUUCUAAAGUCCAAAAACUUUUUAAGAUUUACUAUCACAUCAAAUUUUACGGCAUAUAUAUAGAGCAUUAAAUAUAGACAAAAAUAAUAAUUAAUUACAUAGUUUAUCUAUAAAUUUAUGGUACAUGCAUAGAGCACUAAAUAUAGAUAAAAAUAAUAAUAAUUAAUUAAUUACAUAGUUUAUUUGUAAAUUAUGAGACGAAUUUUAAAGUUUAGUUAAUUUAUAAUUAAAUAAUAAUUGCUAAAUACAAACUGAAGUAUGUGCUCAUAAACUUUUCACCAAUCUAACUAAACAAGGUCAAGGUCUGAUUUUAGUUAGUCUUUUUGCAAAGUCUUUCAUCAAGCUUCUAAAGUUUGUUUCUAAAGUUUCAAGUGAUGGGCAAGGGCAAUGUAGAAAUGGAUAUAAGAGUGCUAUGUUUUCUUUAAAUAAAAAAAAUAAAGGAGUACUAGAAACCUAUUAUGGUAUGAUUACAUUGGUAAAUUAUCAAAGCAUCGACGGUGGCCCUGUUUAGUUUAAAAGAUUUCUCAAAUUUUUUUUAAGAUUUCUCGUUACAUCGAAUACGUACACAUAUAUAUAGGGCAUUAAAUAUAGAUAAAAAAUAAGUAAUUACACAAUUUAUUUGUAAUUUGUGAGACGAAUCUUUUGAGCCUAGUUGAUUUAUGAUUUGCAAUAUUUAUUAAAUAUAAACAAAAAAGCUACAGUAGAGCAGACAAACUCAAAAUUUUCCACCACUGGUGUAGUGGUGUAUUUGUCAAUGUCAUGGUGAGUAAACUCAUUCUUGAACUAACGUGACUCGUGUGUACUCUGAAUCCUCGAUAAGCGCAGAGCUAAAGAUUAUGUACACGUAAAAAAACUAAAAGUUAUACACGUGAUGUGGUCUCUAAAAUUAUUUUGAUCAUCUAUUUUAUUUUAAUUUAUGAUUUUAUAUUAUUUAUCCAUAAAAACUUAUGAUAAUUGGAUAGUAGAUUUUAAUUACAAAUCUAACAAUAUCAAAUUUGAGUUGUGAUAAUAAAAAAAUAUGUUAGUCAAAUUAUUGGUCAAAUAUUUAAAGUUUGAAUUUUGAUAUGUGUAUAUGCCUUAUAAAAGAGAAUGGUAGUAGAUUUGUUGGCCCUUCGCCUCGUACUUGCCCUCGCCACUGCCCAUUGCCCCGUGCGCGAGCACUAGGGUUCGUCGGAGCUCCGCGCACCCUAGCGCUCGUGGCAGCCGUCUUCUUCCUCUCUCCUCUUUGGCACAACAAGCUCUGGCAAUGGCAACCUUUCUACAGCUAUGGCGCCCUCACUCCUCCCUAACUCAGGUGCUCGUCCUCCUUCCCCAUCGUGGGGUCGGGUGCCUCCUCCGAGUAAACUCUUCUAUGUCCACCAGAGUUUAGGAAGACGAGAGGGAGAGCUCGCCAAAAAAACUAAUGAGUAGAUCCAAGAGGAGGAAGCUGUCUACCUCGCUAGAGUUGAACCCAUCGUGGUCGGAGCUAGACCUGCCGAAACCCCAAGCCGGCGCGGGCAUCGGGAGGAGAGGAGAUAAGGUGCGGUGCGAGAAGAGCGUGGGGCAAGGCGUGGAAAGGAGCUCCGUUGCUUGGGACUUGGGUCGGAUGAUUGAUGAAUAAACCCAUUAUUAGAGACGUGCAUAAAGAUUUAGAAUACUUGACAUUUAAUAGAAAAAAAUGUUUUUUUUUGCGAUUUUAAUAGAAAAAAUGUUGAGAGUCAUACGGUCUCUUUGGUAGAGAUUAUUGAAACUUGACAAAAGACCUGCCACAUCAAAAUAUCAUUUUCACUAUAGAAAAAAACAUCAGGGCAAGCCUUUUCUUUUUACACGGGCAUGGUAAAACCAAAACUUAAAACAAAAUGGUUGCAGACGCUAUUAUAUUUUUGUAAUGCAUGUGCCGUAGAAGGCUACUAUAACCAACCAUAGAAGGGAGGCGUGGAGUUGCUUUGAUCUCAACAAGGAACGUUCUGAACAUGAAAAGAAAAUGAUGAUGUAAAUUGCACAUAUAAAUGACAUGCUUCCAGACAUGUUUAAAAAUAAAUAUUCUAAUUCUGAAUAUUACAAUCAAUUUACUCAUGGCAUAGCCAAAAAUAAAUGUCACAUACAGGACCAAGAUCAUUUAAAAAGUUUGCAUAAAAGAAAUACAUCUACUGAGACCAUUUCAGUAUUUAUCAUGGUAAGUACAUGAAAAAGGUAGAUUAAAAACAUAAACAUCGUUGUUUACGUAUAUUUUGCUCUCAAGCCAGUGGGCUGUUACUCUCUAUAUGAGCAAAGGUUUUUCUUGACAAAAUAUGUAGUGCAAAACCCUAUGUAUGGGUUGAAACAUAGACCCAUUUCAAAAAAAUACUUCCAGUGCUUGGAAAUUUUUAAGAUGGUGCACAUCCAAAAUGUAUCGAUAAAUGUACUUUGGGGCAUAAAUUGGAAUUCAAAUUGAAACUAAAAAAUAAUUCAAAAAUAACAAAAUAGGAAUAUGCACUUGAGUUUUAUAAUUUUGGUAUGAUUUUUUAUAAAUGAGUUUGAAUCCAACUUUUACAACAAAACAAAUAUUUUGAAACUACAACAAAACACAUAUGAAUGAAUACACUAUAGAUGUACACCUUUUAAGAAAAUCUAAGUGAUGAAAAUAUAUCUCUAAAAUAAAUUACAUGUUUCCACCUUUGCAGUCAUAUUUUGUCCAAAUUUGACGAUGCUUGCGUCAGAAGCUAGUAGCCACAAGCUAGCCCUUGUUUACUUCUACUUUUUUUUAAAAAAAUAGUAAUUUCGUUUGUAUUUGACAAAUAUUAUCCAAUCAUAGACUAACUAAGCUCAAAAUAUUUAUUUUGUAAAUUAUAAGUAAAUUGUGUAAUUAAUCAUUUAUCUAUAUUUAAUGUUUGCCGUAAGGUUCGAUGGCAAUCUGGAAAAAUUUUGCAAAACCGCCGAACCCGAACCCAGACUCCGCCGAUUCGCUCCCUAUCUCUGCAUACCCGCAUUUUGUCUACCCUGUUCCUCUCCUCACCGCGCGCGUACGCCGCCGCCGCUCACCUCACCGAACCCUAAACCCCAGCCACCGUCCCCCCCGAGGACCGCCGCUCCGGGCGGAGACCCUAGGCGUCGCCGGAGGCCCCAGCGGCCGGGGCACGCGGCGGAGGAACCCGGAAAGCGACUCUCCCUCCCCUCCCCUUACUGGGGGAGGGAGAAACUAGCGGAGGAGGCGAAUCAGGUCAGAGGCGGGCAAGAUGAGGAUCAUGAUCAAGGGAGGCGUGUGGAAGAACACGGAGGAUGAGAUCCUCAAGGCGGCCGUGAUGAAGUACGGCAAGAACCAGUGGGCUCGCAUCUCGUCGCUGCUCGUCCGCAAGUCCGCCAAGCAGUGCAAGGCCCGCUGGUACGAGUGGCUCGACCCGUCAAUCAAGAAGGUACCCACCCGACUGCUCGCCUGUCUUACGGAUCUGUCUCUCCUCUCUCGGUAGACUAUCCUCUCCGCAGGGCCGCCCCAUUCUAUUACUGAUUUUUGCCUGUGUUUGGAGUGUCAUUCUGUUAAGGAUCUAGUGGUACAAGCGCUGUGAGAUGUGAACUGCUCAUUUGCGUGAAGUGAGAUGGUCUAACGAUUUUGUGCUAUACCUUAUCUUCUCUUACUAUAUGCACUGUUCUAAAAAUCAGUAGCUGGUAUUUGUAGGGAUUGGAUGGGUUUCCCUUCUUAUAUCAAUUAUAUGUGGUAAAUAGGACCACACUUUCCUUUAAAAUGGUCUAGCAGCCAUGUUUAGAACACUGUCUGAAUCCUGCUGCAUUGGUAAGGCCGCAAUUCACAAUUAGAGGGCAACUGUCACUGGAUGGUGUCUAGUUCAUCCAAAUCAGUAAAGGUGUGAUAAUAAUUAUUCUGGAGUGGUUUUGUGAUGACACAGUUUAGUUGUUUUGAAUAAAACUUUUCAGCAGACCAGAACAUUGUCUGCUGAGAAAGGGGAAAGCACUAGAAGUGGAUAAGUGAUUUCCUUUCCUCUGAAAUCUUUUCUUUGCAAUUUAGUGUCGUGAUGCAAAGGAGCCAGUGGACUCUUCCUUUUAUUUUGCCUUUCCAUAUGGCUUACCAGGUCCCUCCCAGCCUUUGGAACAAUGAUUCCUGUAUUCUAAAAGAAAAAAAAAAUACAAUUUUUGUAUGCAUUUAUGGAAUGGAACAACAAUAUGAUUUAUGUUCUAUGAACCUUGAUUAAUAUGCUGGUUAUGGAUUGUGUCAAUCUCUAUCAUUGGAUGACUAAGUGUUAUCCUUUCACAAGCAUCUGAACUAGUGAACUUUAGAAUCAGAUAAAAAACAUCUGCUUUCAUCUUGAACAUCUUGAGCUUCAAGUUGGUGGUAAUACAAAAUAUUAGCAUCCUUACUUUAGUAGGUUAUAUUGAUUCUAAUGCCUUUUGGAGCCAGAUAGCAAAUUGUUAUCUUUUGGUUUUUGUCUUGCUAAGCAUCCAUGUUUACAUGCUAUAUGGUUCAGCAUCAGCUUAUAACAUCUAUUAUUUCUACUACCUAGACAACAUACAUUUCAACAUAGAUAUUAACUAAUGAAAAGUUUUAGUCAAUUAGUCUAGUUGUCACUAUAUGUAACUGGACUAAGCACCUGAAUCAUUUUUUUCUUGCUAAAAGAUAAAUUUUCUAGUGUUUUAAGUAAAAUUGGAUAUUUUGGUUGUGACUUGUGAGAAAUGUCUAUAGCAGAUGUAAACUACUAAAAGAAGGUUUGUUCCACUGGGUAGAUACUUUAUUUUUGUCUGAAAUUAUGCUGAAGGACAGCUCUUUUAAUUGGAUUUGGUUAUUCAAAGUGGUCCACUGUGUCGCAAUCAGUGGCACGCCACUUCUACAGUUAGGUUCUCAGUAUAGCUUUAGCAGCAGCAGUGGUUUAAGUUUUAUCAUGUCAUACUGUGAAAAUGCACCUAGAUAGUUUAUUAAGUUUCAAUUAAUAAGAUAAACAGGUUGAUUCAACUCUUAAUUGGUAACGUGAUUUCUAAUUUUACUUUCUCUAGUCUUAAUGUAUUUAAUUGCAGGAACAGGGUGAAAUAUGAAUAUUAAUUAAUGGACCAUUAACAUACUGUAGUUAAUAAAGAGUCUACAUAUCUUUGUUUUGGAACUGGUUAGCUUCUGGAAUUUUUUAGUGUUCAUAGAUUUCUAGUUGUUGCUGUGCAAUGAUUGGUUAUUACUGGCUGCUGGCUUGCAGCUAUUUUGGCUAAUGUCAGUUUUUAAUUGACAAGUGUUCCAUGGUAACAUAGAGCUAAUAAAAUUUUUCAUGCUUUAAUAUUUAUAAGAUGAAUGUGUUCUAAGUUUAUUAGUCAACUUUUUUCUGAUAUAUAAAAUUUGUACAACCUAUGUUAGUAUUUUCAUCAUUGUAUUGAUAGUUUGAUAUAACAUGGAAUGCUACUAGCAACUACAAUUCACUUUUGUAAGCAUUGCAUUAAUGACGAAGUGCUGUGUCUAUAUUUUUAUCUCUUCCUGUGACUAUUCACGUUUUGCUGCUUAAAGAUAGAAGACAAAGGUUUUCAGUUUUCUCUUAGGAUAUUCUGUUAUGUGUCCAGAAGAUUGCUAUAUUUGAUGCAGCUUUUGUUCUCUUGCUGUGUUGAGUGUUAAUACUUAAUACCUUUUCCAUGUAACAUGCUUUGUACACUGUUUAGGGUUUUUUUUAUUUAAUUAAAAAGCACAUACUAGGGGCUCAUGUUGUGUUUCAAGUCUAGCCUACCCCAACUUGCUUGGGACUAAAUUCAUAUUGUCUGCAACAUAUUGAAGUGAAUGAUUUAAAUAACCCAUAACCUUCAAAAUAGUUCUUUCAUUGGUCAUGUGCUGUAUUAUGGCAUAGGUCUGUCUUGUUUACUGCUGUCUGUCAUGAAGAUGAAUCUUUUAUCAUUCACUCACUGUGCUAACUCAUCUAUGUUAAUUUCAGACUGAGUGGACAAGGGAAGAGGAUGAGAAGCUACUUCAUCUUGCUAAACUCAUGCCUACUCAGUGGAGGACAAUUGCACCUAUUGUAGGUCGAACACCAUCUCAGUGUCUUGAACGUUAUGAAAAAUUGCUUGAUGCUGCAUGUGCAAAGGAUGAAAAUUAUGAGGCUAAUGAUGACCCUAGGAAGCUGCGGCCUGGUGAAAUUGACCCAAACCCUGAGUCAAAGCCUGCACGUCCUGAUCCUGUUGAUAUGGAUGAAGAUGAAAAAGAAAUGCUUUCUGAGGCUAGGGCUCGCUUAGCUAACACUAGGGGUAAAAAGGCAAAACGGAAGGCAAGAGAGAAACAACUUGAAGAGGCAAGACGGCUUGCCUCACUACAAAAAAGGAGAGAGUUGAAGGCGGCUGGUAUUGAUACACGCCACAGAAAAAGAAAGAGAAAGGGGAUUGACUACAAUGCCGAGAUCCCAUUUGAAAAGAGACCACCUCCAGGUUUUUAUGACACUGUUGGUGAAGACAGGCCACUUGAACAUGUGCAGUUUCCAACAACCAUUGAGGAGCUUGAAGGGAAGAGAAGAGCAGAUAUAGAGGCACAGUUAAGAAAACAAGAUAUUGCCAGGAACAAGAUCCUGCAGCGACAGGAUGCCCCUGCUGCUAUAAUGCAAGCUAAUAAACUAAAUGACCCAGAAGCUGUCACAAAGAGGUCAAAGCUAAUGCUGCCGCCUCCCCAAAUUUCUGACCAUGAGUUAGAGGAGAUAGCAAAGAUGGGCAGUGCUGGUGAUCCUGCUUUAGCUGAUGAGCUUGGUGAAGGAAGUACUGCCACAAGAACUUUGCUUGCCAGCUAUUCUCAGACUCCAAGACUUGGUAUGACACCAUUGCGAACUCCGCAACGAACUCCAGCUGGGAAGGGUGAUGCAAUUAUGAUGGAGGCAGAAAAUCUUGCACGUCUUAGAGAAUCACAAACACCUCUGUUAGGAGGUGACAACCCAGAGCUUCAUCCAUCAGAUUUCUCUGGUGUUACACCACGUAAGGAGAUACAGACACCAAAUCCAAUGGCAACACCUUUGGCAAGCCCUGGACCUGGUGUUACUCCAAGGAUUGGUAUGACUCCAUCUAGAGAGGGGCACAGCUUUGGUUUAACACCAAGAGGAACUCCUUUUCGUGAUGAACUGCGCAUAAAUGAAGAAGUGGAAAUGCAGGACAGCACUAAACUUGAGCUUCGUAGGCAAGCUGAACUGAAAAAAAGCCUGCGAUCUGGUUUUGCUUCUAUUCCACAGCCAAGGAACGAGUACCAGAUAGUCAUGCCACCUAUUACAGAGGAUGAGGCAGAAGAAGCUGAAGAGAAAAUUGAAGAGGACAUGUCAGACAGACUGGCACGAGAAAGGGCUGAGGAACAAGCUAGGCAGGAGGCAUUGCUCAGAAAGAGAUCCAAAGUGUUGCAGAGGAGUCUGCCUAGGCCGCCUGCUGCUUCAGUAGAAAUUAUCCGGCAAUCUCUUAUUAGAAGCGGAGAAAGCAGAAGCAGAAGCACCUUUGUGCCUCCUACAUCACUUGAACAAGCUGAUGAACUAAUAAAUGAGGAGCUCCUUAGGCUUCUUGAGCAUGAUAAUGCAAAAUAUCCUCUUGAUGAAAAAACUCAAAAAGAGAAAAAGAAAGGGAAGCGUCAGCAAAAUGGGGGAGCUCUUGUCCCUGAAAUUGAUGAUUUUGAUGAAGAUGAACUAAAAGAGGUGCUAUUCUUUUUCUCUGCCCGCCUAUAUUAGCAUUCGACUAUUCAUGAACUCUUAUCUCCUCUUUCCUUAUAAUUUCACCAUGACCCACCACACGUACAGUUUCACGGUACUAUCAUAUUAGGUGCACAAACAGUAACUUGAGAACCGAUGUGCACAUCUGCCUGUAUCACACUGACACCAUAAUGUUUGUUAUUUGCAUUACUUAAUUACCAAUCACAUUUAGUUAAUUGAACCGAGGUCAAGUAGCACGCACAAUGCAUUAUGAAAACAUGCUUUUCAAGUUCUCAUUUGGUUUAAUAGCAAAUGCAUAGAUUUACGUGAGUAAUAUCCUAUAAGGCAGAGGACUUAGUUAACAUAAAUUAUAAGAAAUUUCAGGUACACAAAACUUUAGCACAUUGUUUAAGAGUUAAGACAAAUUAUAAGAAAUUUCGGGUACACAAUAUUUGGACAUAUUCUUUAAGAGUUACGACAUUAAUUUUACAAUUAGAAUCUUCUUUCGAGUGCAGAUGAUUAGAAUUGUCAUCUGCAAGUGAUGUGUGAAUUAGCACUGUCAUUUUUAUGGCAUUCAACUUUGCACACUAGAGUACUCUAUAUGCACUGUACUGUUGUCAACUAGAUAGCUUUGCAUUUUAGUUUUCAUGAAUUGAUACUACAUACAUACAUGUUUUUGUGUUGAAAUCAUGCCAAUAACACUAAAUUGGACAUUUCGAUGGAUAAAAGAAAUACAGAGAUCGCAAUACAUAAUCUACAAGCAUGGUAGUUAUCAAACCAUUUAUAGUGCAUAAGUUUGUAUGCUCCUUCGUUUUGUUGUUCUCUUAUUCUAUGGGAUGAUGGAAUAAGUUGUUUUUAUUUUUUUAAAUUGGCAGGCUAGUUCUAUGGUUGAAGAGGAGAUUCAAUAUCUUCGAGUGGCCAUGGGUCAUGAAAAUGAAUCUUUUGAGGACUUUGUGAAAGCACAUGAUGCAUGCCAAGAGGACCUUAUGUUUUUUCCUACUAACAAUAGCUAUGGUUUAGCUAGUGUUGCUGGAAAUGCUGAUAAGAUUUCUGCUUUGCAAAAUGAGUUUGAAACUGUGAAGAAGCGAAUGGAUGAUGAAGCUAAGAAGGCUUCUCGGCUUGAGCAGAAGAUUAAGCUUCUGACACAAGGAUAUCAGGUAAACUUGGCAUGUACAGCAUCUGCAAUCAAGAUCAUCUAUAUUAACUGGAUUUAAGCAAUAUGCCAUAUAGCUUGGCUUCUUUCGAGUUCUCUUUAUUUGGUUUACUGGAAAUUUUUAAGUGUGCUUUGCGUGCCCUUCCAGCCCAUACUGUGGAGCAUAUUUUAAGCAAGUGGUGCCACAAAAUAUUCAAAUGAUAAUGAGUCUCAGGCCAUCAAUAUCUACAGCUUAGUAAGCUCAAUACGACAGUACACAACACACUGAAAUCGCCAUUUCUAGCAACUGUGUUGAAUCCCUAAUAUUCGCUAUUGCUUCCAUAGACCCUAGGACAUCACUUGUGAUUGGAUGCGGGCACAUACCUGAAGCAGGCGAAACUGUAGUGCUUUGUUGCCCACUGGAUUGGCGCUGGAGAUAAGUGAUACAUGGCAACUAUUGCAGGGGAGGACUUGUGAUAGGCCGGUAUUCUAGUAGUACAUAAUACACAAACUUCUACAGAGAUAGGCUCCAAUAGACAACAGCUGGCUUGUGCCACCAUGAUGCCUUCGAAAUGUGAAAAUAAUCUUUUGCCUUAGACGCACGAUAGCUAGAACAAUGCAAAUUAUGUGUGCAAGUUAGAAUCAAAGAGAUAUUUAAUUUUAAUCCCUGUUCACAUCACAAGCAUUUAUCUCUUUAAAAAAAAUCACUCAAUCAGUCAAAUCCACUAUUAUUGGACAUUUGCCAUUUACCAAGGCAACAUCAGGUGGCAUUGCUGAAAGCACACUUUGUCCUUGUACUGAAACAAAGAACAAUGUUUGCCUUCGAAUACUGAACUAAGAACUUAAUGCUUAGAAGCCUAAAGCCUUAGAUUUCUAGGAUCAACAGAUAUAACUGCAGGUACAUAGUUGUUGAACCCAACAUAACAUUUGGUGACUGUUUCUUAUGAGUAUGAAUAGCGCAUAGUUCAUAACACAUAUCAGCAGACUGCAGUAAAUGAAUAAUCAAAAUUUUUAUGGUCAAUGAAUUUUUUUCAGCUAGGUAGAGAAGGUGAGAUGCAACCAGUUAAUUUUUCCACCACCAGUAAACACAAAACAUUAAAAUACAUAUACCAGAAUCAACUGACACAAUGGAUUUCUUUGGCACUGUCCUAACAUCAGCUUCCCCAUACAUGCUUCGGCGGAUGUUUUUUACCUUCAGCGGCUUCUUGAGCACAAGAAUCUUCAUAUGGCUUUCCUUGAGCCUUCUCGGGCGACAAACAUGACCUCUGUCACGCUCCUGUCUGAAUCGGCCUAGUCAACUCCUGAUGUGGAGAAAGGGAAGGGAAAUUGGGAAGGAGUGUGAGGCAGUGAGAGAGAUGGACAAGGUAAAAGGAAGCAAGAUCAGCACGCUCACCAAAUCUUGCUUCUACUGCUGUGCUCGAGAAACCCAGCCUCGCUCGCCACCACCUGCGGAGAGAGUAUGGAGUCCAGAUGCCCGUAUCCAACGGCACAGACUAGACUUACCAGUGGCAGUCUCUCAGUGAACCAAGAUCUUGGCGGUGUGACGAAGAGCACUGCCCCACCUCGAGUUGCUCCUGCUGUUGGUCAUUGCCACUUGCAUAGUUGCGGUGCUCAAAGGGCUUACAUCUUCAGGAAGCAGCGACAUAGCUGCAGGCCUGCAGCGUACCGCACAGGUGAUGGUAUGAGGGCUGCAGCGGCACUGCUGUGUGAGCGGAUGCCUGAGCCUCCCCUGAGCUUUGCAUGAUCUGCGAACCACAGAUCUGGAACGACGCCCACGCUCAAGUGAAGGCAUCAUCAGGAGACGCGUGCAGUGAGGGGCGGUGGCAGGGAGAACCAGAGAAGAGAAGGGUUGCUGCAUUGGAGAGAUGAACGAGCGAAUGUGGGGAUCGAGGGUUGCCUAGGGGGUCCUCCACAAAAUGGCCAGCAGGGGUUUUUAUGCAAAAUCAAUGGAGAUCACAAAUUUCUUCUUCAUGUAGAAAUAAAUUUUAAUUCAUGGGGUUAACUGAAAAGCAUAUGAACACAUACACUGUACUGUACGGUUGGCUGGAUAGGACCUCAGGUUGAAUUUGUAAGAUAUAAUCUGCUGUCCCUCUUGCUUUUCUGUCCUGCAUUCGGCAGGUUCAAGUGGUCAGCUCUUGGCUGCCACUGUAGAAGUAUGGCAAUAGGCCAUCUAGUCUUCCAUAGUUGGUAGAAGUACACCAGCUGGAGUAGUGGGCUGGUUUAGGCUGGUACAAGAGUAGGUAUUGGCUGAGAUAAGCCAUUUAGAGUAGUUGGACUGGUGUAGUCACCAUCCAAGUAGUGUACCAGCAGGUACAUAGUUUGUGUAUAUAUAUACCCUACCUAUUGCAAUGGAAAACUCAGUUCAUUGCCACUCAUUCAGUUCUCCAGCUUUCAGUUCAAGUCUGAAAGCUGUGUGUGUGUGUGCUGCGUGAGUGAGUGAGGGAGCUCAGGGCUCUUCCUCUUCCUUGGAGCAGGGGUGAGGGAGAGGGAAGGUGAGCAGGGUCUGCUUACCUGGUGCUUGUGUGCAGGUGCCAACAAUUGGUAUCAAAGCUGUACAAGCCGUAGCUAGGUCCACUGACCAGCAAUGGCGGAGGAUGCGGGCCGGAAUGGUGGCGGGGAGGGUGGCGAGCGACAGCUCCAACCGGCGCCACCGCAGGUGGAGGUGCGCGUGGUGAAGGAGUUCGGCGGCAGCGGCUCCUGGCCCAUGCUCACCCGCACCAACUACGGUGAGUGGGCGAUGCAGAUGAAGUGGAAGCUGCGCGCGCGGAAGUGGUGGCGGGCGAUUGAGGAGGAUGACCGCACUGAGGACGCCCAGGUGGGAGUCAUGGAGGCGCUCAUGGCCUCGAUGCCGGCGGAGUACCACGAGGCGCUGGGCGCCAAGGAGACCGCGAAGCAGGCCUGGGAGAUGCUGGAGUCCCUGCGUGUCGGCUCGGAUCGAGCCAAGCGGGCAAGAAUCCAGCAGCUCCGCAGGGAGCUCAACGACAUCAAGUUCAAGUCCGGAGAAUCGGUUGAGGAGUUCACUCUUCGUCUCCAAUCCCUGGCCACGCAACUGGCCACCUACGGGAAGAAGGUGGACGACGAGGACCUCGUCACCAAGCUGCUGUGCACCGUGCCGACAAAGUAUUCGCAGCUCGCCAUGUCCAUUGAGACGAUGUUGGACAUCUCCACAUUGUCUCUGGAGGACGUGGCUGGGCGGCUGCGAGUAGCGGAGAGCCGCAUCACGCCGGCACCAGAGAAGGAGAAGCCCAAGCUACUCCUGACGGAAGAGGAGUGGACCGCGCGCAUGAAGGACAAGCGCCGGACCGGGGAAGGCUCCACCAGCCGCGGCGGAGAUGGCGCCAAGGGGCGCGGGAAGCCGACGGCGGACAAGAAGAAGAAGAAGAGGAACACCGACCCCAACGCCUGCAGGCGUUGCGGGAAGGUGGGGCACUGGGCACGAGAAUGCCCGGAGAAGCCGGAGAAGAAGGAGGAGGCCCACUUGGCUCGGGACGACAGCGACGACGAGUGCGCUCUGUUGAUGGGGGAGUGUUGCGCGCUGCAGGAAGGCGAAGCAGGGGAGGCGGAGGCGGAGCAGGGGACUGCGCCGCAGGCCGUCGAACUUGACGAGUCUCGCGCGCGUGUCCUCCUGGGAGCGGACGGCGAAGAGCUGGAGCAGAGGUGGUACCUCGACUCAGGCGCGAGCAACCAUAUGACAGGAAGCCGCGCUGUUUUCUCCGAGCUUGAUGAAGAAACCACCGGGAGCGUCAAGUUCGGCGAUGGCUCCCGGGUGGCAAUCCGCGGCCGUGGCACUGUCCUGUUCCGGUGUCGGAACGGGGAACACCGGGCGCUGACGGAUGUCUACUGGAUCCCACAGCUGAAGACAAGCAUCAUCAGCCUCGGGCAGUUGGACGAGUGCGGCGCAGAGGUGGUGAUCAAGGGCGGAGUGCUGCGGAUCCGUGACCAAGACCGGUGGUUGCUGGCCAAGGUCACAAGGUCGAAGAACCGGCUGUUUCUGCUGGACCUUAAGGUCGAGCAGCCGGUGUGCCUGGCGGCACAGUGCACGGAGGAGCCGUGGCUGUGGCAUGGCCGGUUCGGGCAUUUGAACUUCGACGCACUGAGCAGACUAGCGGCAAUGGUGAGGGGGAUGCCCAAGAUCCAACACGCCAGCGAGCUCUGUGACAGCUGCCUGGUGGGGAAGCAGAGGAGACUGCCGUUCCCCAAGGAGGCAAAGUACCGCGCCAAGGAGAAGCUUGAGCUGGUUUAUGGCGACCUAUGCGGGCCUAUCACCCCGCCACGCAUGGAGGGCGGAGGUAUUUCCUCCUGCUGGUGGAUGACUACAGUCGCUACAUGUGGUUGCGGCUCCUGACCAGCAAGAGCGAAGCAGCAGAAGCCAUCAAGCAACUCAAGGCGAAGGUUGAGGCUGAGUCUGGGAGGAGACUGCGGGUGUUGCGAACGGACCGUGGAGGGGAGUUCACGGCGGUGGAGUUCGCCACCUACUGCGCGGAGGAGGGAGUGGAGCGCCAUCUCACGGCGCCCUACUCACCUCAGCAAAACGGCGUGGUGGAACGUCGGAAUCAGUCCAUCGUCGGGAUGGCGAGGUGCAUGCUGAAGGCCAAGGGAAUGCCGGCGGCGUUCUGGGGGGAGGCCGUGAGCACGGCGGUGUUCAUUCUCAACAGAGCACCGACGAAGGCGCUGAGCGGGAAGACACCGUUCGAAGCUUGGCAUGGCCGCAAGCCGAGCGUGGCAUUCAUGCGCACGUUUGGGUGCAUUGGGCAUGUGAAGAACACCAAGCCCGGCCUCACCAAGCUUGAGGACCGGAGCACGAGGAUGGUGUUCCUCAGCUACGAGGAAGGAUCAAAAGCCUACAGGCUCUACGAUCCAGUCACCGGGAGGGUGACAGUAUCCCGCGACGUCGUGUUUGAUGAAGCAGGGAAGUGGAGGUGGGAGGAGGAAGACUUGGCGGGAGAAGAGGGCACGCUCGGGAUCGGUGGGUCCUUCACCGUCGAGCAACUGGUGAUCACCAGUCAAGUCCACGCACCAGCCGGAGUCGUGGAGGAAGCAGCAGCCCCUGGAGCAGGGGAAGCAGGGGGCGAGGCGCCAGCAGCAGGGGAAGCCGAGCCGCCCAGCCCCACCACGACGGGCGGCACCCCGCUUCACUCUGUCUCAAGGCAGGAGCAGAGGACUCCGACCACGGCUCAAGUGGAGUAUGCCACUCCACCACCAGACGUCACCGAGUUCGUGGACGCCUUUCACGACGGCGAGGAGGUACGAUUUCGUCGUGUGGACAAUGUUCUCGGUGAUGCAGCAACUCCGGGACUGGCAGCACGGCUGCUGGGCGAAGAGGAGGAGCUCAUGAUGCUGAGCACAGAAGAGCCGGCCACCUUCGCCGCAGCAGAGCGCGAGCCGGAGUGGCGGCGCGCUAUGCUGGAGGAGAUGCGGCAGAUCGAGGCAAACUGGACCUGGGAGUUGGUCGAUCCACCGGCUGGAUGCCGGCCGAUCGGACUCAAAUGGGUCUACAAGGUGAAGAAGGACGAGCACGGCGCGGUGGUGAAGCACAAGGCGCGGCUCGUCGCUCGGGGGUUCGUGCAGCGAGAAGGGAUCAAUUUCGAGGAGGUGUUCGCGCUGGUGGCGCGCAUGGAGUCGGUGCGACUCGUCCUGGCCAUGGCGGCGACCAAGGACUGGGCAGUUCACCACCUCGACGUCAAAUCCGCCUUUCUCAACGGCGACUUGACGGAGGAGGUUUUCGUCAAGCAGGCCCCAGGCUUCAUCGCACAGGGGGCUGAGCACAAGGUGCUCCGCCUCAGGAAGGCGCUCUACGGCUUACGACAGGCGCCGCGAGCGUGGAACUCCAAGCUCGACGCCACCGUGGCGGAGCUCGGGUUCACACGGUGUGCAACGGAGCAUGGCCUGUACACCCGCCGACGGGGGAAGGAAGAACUCGUCGUCGGGGUGUACGUGGAUGACUUGAUCGUCACCGGUGCGCGGGAGAAGGACAUCUCAUCCUUCAAAACCGAGAUGGCGGCAAAGUUCCAGAUGACCGAUCUCGGUGCGCUGAGCUACUACCUCGGCAUUGAGGUGAAGCAGGGAGGCAAGGCAGUCACGCUGGGGCAGCGUGCCUACGCGCGCAAGGUGCUGGAGCGGGCGGGCAUGGAAAAUUGCAGGCCUGCGGCGACUCCGAUGGAGGAACGGAUCAAGCUGUCGAAGCAGAGCACGGCGGAGAAGGUGGACGCAACGCGCUACCGGAGCAUCGUCGGCGGGCUGCGCUGGCUCACCCAUACUCGGCCGGACAUCGCGUUCGCGGUCGGGUAUGUAAGCCGGUUCAUGGAGGACCCGCGGGAGGAUCACUGGAUGGCAGUCAAGCGGGUGCUACGCUACAUCCAGGGGACGAUGGACCAGGCUCUCGUCUUCCCGAAAGGCGGGGGGUCUGAUGGAGGCGGGUUGGAGCUCGCGGCUUACAGCGACGCGGACAUGGCAGGCGAUGUCGAUGGACGGCGCAGCACCUCAGGCGUGUUGAUCCUCCUCGGCACGGCACCUGUCGCUUGGCAAUCGCUGAACAGAAGACGGUGGCUCUGUCGACUUGCGAGGCAGAAUAUGUCGCUGCAGCCACCGCGGCAUGCCAGUUGGUGUGGAUGCGCCGGCUGCUGGGGGAGCUUACAGGCAUGAGCCCCGGCCGCCUGUGCUCAAGGUGGACAAUCAGCCAGCAAUAGCGCUGGCGAAGAACCCUGUUCUCCACGACCGAAGCAAACACAUCGAUGUGAAGUUCCACUUCCUACGUGAUUGCGUCGAGGAGAAGCAGAUUGUCAUCGAGUUUGUUGAGACUGGUCGACAACUCGCUGACAUCUUCACUAAGCCAGUUGGGCGACUUCGGUUCUUGGAGCUAAGGAGCAAGAUUGGCAUGGUGGAGGUCAAGAGUACACAGCAGGAUUAGGGGAAGAUUGUAAGAUAUAAUCUGCUGUCCCUCUUGCUUUUCUGUCCUGCAUUCGGCAGGUUCAAGUGGUCAGCUCUUGGCUGCCACUGUAGAAGUAUGGCAAUAGGCCAUCUAGUCUUCCAUAGUUGGUAGAAGUACACCAGCUGGAGUAGUGGGCUGGUUUAGGCUGGUACAAGAGUAGGUAUUGGCUGAGAUAAGCCAUGUAGAGUAGUUGGACUGGUGUAGUCACCAUCCAAGUAGUGUACCAGCAGGUACAUAGUUUGUGUAUAUAUAUACCCUACCUAUUGCAAUGGAAAACUCAGUUCAUUGCCACUCAUUCAGUUCUCCAGCUUUCAGUUCAAGUCUGAAAGCUGUGUGUGUGUGUGCUGCGUGAGUGAGUGAGGGAGCUCAGGGCUCUUCCUCUUCCUUGGAGCAGGGGUGAGGGAGAGGGAAGGUGAGCAGGGUCUGCUUACCUGGUGCUUGUGUGCAGGUGCUAACAGAAUUAAGAAAAUAUGGAGGGUUUUUGUGCAAAACAGCUGUAGCGUCUGGACAUGAAGGAAUGAGCGCUCUCGUGGAGGCAAACCAGAUUACUCCAUUCUAAAUUUUAAGAUUUCAAGAAUCUUGGACAGUCAAAACAUCUCAAGCUUGACCAAAAUUAUAGAAAUAAUUACAAAGAUUUAUGACAUCAAAUAGAUAUACUAUGAAAAUAUAAUUAAUGAAGGACCUAAUGAUACUUAGUUGGUAUCAUAAAUGUAAUUUUAUCAUAUAAAUUUGGUCAAACUUGAGAUGCUUUGACUCUCAAGAUUCUUGGAAUGACAUAAUUUGGGAUGGAGAGAGAACAUGAUGUAUUCUCUUUCUUCUGUCCCAUUUUGUGAAUUGUAAUCAAAUACUGGACCCUGUUGAAGCCAGCCUGAAUAAUUGAAUAUGAUAGACACUGGGCUGCUGCAAACUAUAUUGCUAGCUGACUAGCUCUUGCUUUUUGCCUGACUGAAUUUGCUCUUUCCCUUAUCCAUUGAAACAAAAUUGUUGACCAUACAGAUUACAUCUUGUCUCAUUGCAUAUCCUAUUCGAGUGCUGAUGUUUUGCUAACAUGCUGUUUGCUUGUUAUUAGGUACGGGCUGGAAAACUGUGGUCACAGGUCCAAGAUACAUUCAAGCAAAUGGACACUGCUGCAACAGAACUCGAGUGCUUCCAAGAGCUGCAGAAACAGGAACAUCUUGCUGCUUCGUAUCGAAUCCUAAAUUUGACUGAAGAAGUGAAUAAACAGAAAGCACUAGAAAGGACCCUCCAGAGCCGCUAUGGUGAGCUGGUUUCUGGUUUUCAGAGGAUACAAGAACAGCUUGAGGAGCACAAGAAGCAACUCAAGGUACAGGAGGCAAUAGAAGCCGAAAAUCGUGCUCAGGAAGAGGAAGUUGUGGCACCGAAUCAUGCUGCUGUUGAGGAAGAGGAUGAAAGGAAGCCUCUCAGCUCUGACGAGAAAUCACAGCAGACAAAUAGAGCUACUGAUGAAGAGGCUGCAGGAAGCAAGGCAAUCACCAAGGAUCAGAUGGAUGUGGACAGCGGGAAUGUAGACGGUGGAUUUGUAGGGCCUAUCCCACCAGCACCAGACACUGAAGGGGAUAAUGAUGAGGUAUCAGUUCAAGAUAACACUUCUAACACCGAGAGUAGUGAGUGUGCCUCCACGAAUGAUGGCGCUGACAAGAUCGAUCAAGCCAAGUUAGAAGGUCAGGAUAAAGCAGAUGACAGUAUGGCUGCUGAUGCUGGCCCUCAGGAGGGCAAGGAUGAACUUGCACCUGUUGGCGCCAGCAUAAGUGAAGAAAACACCACUAUAUCUUUGGAUCAAGCUGUCUCAAAGGAGGAUGAAGGCAGUGCUCCUGAGCGAAGUAUUGUUUGAUGGCUAAUUGAGGGGUAACAGUGUGAAAUUCAUAUAGUAUGCCUCUCAAAAAGGGGACACCAAUUUUUUUUUUUCUUUAGCCUUUUGAUGCACCCCCUUGUUCUCCAACGUGUUUUCAGUCCUAGCUCAAGCUGUGUUUCCAUCGGAGAUUCGAAUUUUAUCUUGAUGUUGAUUUCCAGUUCAGGCUGUUACAAACCUGCUAUGUUCAAUUUUCUGUGGACAAUUUCAUCUUGAUGGGAGAAGAAAAAACAUGCAAAUAUCUAAAGUAACAUUGUACGUGUCAUGAGGCCAUCCUUACAAGAUCUGUUUUCAACUGAUAACUUUGAUGCGAUGCUCAAGAGCACACUGCCUAGUGUACACAACUUGUGUAGGAAAAAGUGCAGGAGCCCUGGUCCAUGCCCAAGCAUGAGGUUCAGGGCAUACUAGCGUCCGGAUAACCUCAGUUUUAUCCACUUCUUGGUCGCGUCGCGUCCAAAUGCCUGCCCAUCCUUUGGACCCAACCUGCAUCCCAAGCACAACAACAAAUAUCUCCUCUCCUUUCUGGCAUGCCAAGAAAUAUCCUAUACAAGAGAUAUUUUUAGCUGCUGAAAAAGGUGCAGGCAUGUGUCGCUGACAGGAGGGCCAAAAGCGCACCGGGUGGAUCCAAGUUAUGUCUUCUUCUCAAAGUAUCAGCAGGGCACAUUUGGGCAACACUGGACCACAGGAAUGGUCAGUGUGAAGGAGUGGGCCACAUCGUUGUGCAACCGUUACCUCAAAAUAGAUUGCUCUGAAUGGGUAAACUGGCAGAUAUUCAGUGUAUUUGGUCUUUACAAUAUAAAUAAAAGGAGUGGCCUCCUUGACAGUUUUUUUACGAGACCCAGUUACAAACUUCUUUUAUUUCUUUUCUAUAGCAUAAGAAAAAUGAAUUAAAUGAAAUUCGUGGAUUUAGCCGACCUUGGUUGUAACCCCAUAGAUAAAAAUGCAAAAUUUCUAUCUUCGAGACGACGGAAAAAGGGCAUUGAACGAGAAAAAAAUCACCCACAGAUAAUUAAACCAUCGUAUGCCCUAGAAGUAAUAUGAGGCGCUUGAAAAUGGUUGAAGUAAUUGAUUAGGAGGAUCACUAUGACUAUAGCCGUUGGUAGAGUUAAUUUUUGAGAGUGAAAAUAUACCAGGGCACACUAGACUGAUUCAGUUCAGUUCAAAUGUUUCUUUAAAGGAAUGUUCAUCUGAAUAUCUCAAGGAAGAUGGACAAAUAUAUCAUGGAAAGAAAAGGUACUUGAGAACUAUAAAAGGGAUUUGAUUAUAAACACAACAUACCGACAUAUUUCUUUAAAGUACAUUUCACAUGCAUAUUUUCCUUUCAGUAAAAGUUCAACUAGAACAUGGUUUUCUCCUAUUAAUUAUGUUAUAGGACGGUUAAAUUAUAAAUUUCCUAAACAAAACAUGCAAAAAUAAAUGAGGAAGCUCAGGGGAAAAAAAAGGGGUCAGGGGAGGGCAAUGCCCAAAUAAAGAAAACGAGACUCGGUAAGAAGACCCCUGAACAGUAGGCACUCUCCUCACCUCAGUCACUACUUUCCCGCUCUAUCCAUAUAUAAACCCCCCUCCUUCCUCCUCUGCAUGCCUCAACAACCCGUCUCCAAGAAACCACCUCCCCUCGCUCCAAUCCCAAUCCAAAUCCUUCGCCACGAACCAAUAGAACCCAAUCCGAUCAGUUCCCCCCACGCAAUUUCCCAUCUGAGUUUCAUCUCUUUCUUUUUCACCGAUAAUAAAGAUCCGAUCGAUCGGAGUCCGGCGGCAGCUAAUUCACCGGCGGGAUUGGAGAUGAAGGUCGACAGGGAAAUGGAGAUUCUGCUCAACGAGAUCCCCCUCCUCCACCACGGUGGCCUCCUCGGCGGCAGCGGCGAGGCUGGUGCGGACGACGACGCCGACCUCUCUUUCCUCAUCCACGAACUCGCCGCGAUGGGCGUCGUGGACGGCGACGACGAGCCACCGGCGCCGGGCGCUGCCAACGGCUUCGGCUUCUCCAGCAUGAUGAUUUACCCCAAGAAAGGCGGCGAGAAUCUGGUAUCCCUGCACCCGUUCUCCAUGGCCGGCCACUGCGCGCACAUGCCGUCUCUGUUUGAUCCCGUCACCUUCGCUGCCGCCGACGGCUGGGACAUCCGGUGCUCCCCGCCGCCUUCUGUUUCUGUGUCGCCACCGCCCGCCACGCCGAGGGCCCGGUGCAAGAACGUGAGGAGGAAGAACGGCGGCUGCGGCGCGGUGACGGCGACGAGCCCCAAGAAGUGCGGAGCCGCGGCGGCGGCGGCGGCGGCGGCGGCCAACAAGUCGCACGGCGAGAGCCUGGCCGGCCUGCGCGGGGUCAUGUCCCACAUCGCGCGCGACCAGCACGGGUGCCGGCUGCUGCAGCAGAGGCUCGACGACGGCAAGCGCGAGGUCGACCACAUCUUCGCCGGCGUGUCGCGCCACGCCGCGCAGCUGAUGGUGGACCCGUUCGGGAACUACCUCAUGCAGAAGCUGCUCGCCGUCUGCGACGCCGGGCAGAGGAUGGCGCUCGUGCUCACCCUCACCGCUGACGCCUUCGUCCUCGUCAGGAUAUCCCUCAACGUCCAUGGGUAUAACUGUCAAUUCACUCCAUGAUUUUUUUUUAUUGUUAAUAAUGUGCAUAUUUUUGCUAGCUUUUGUUGAUGUGUGUGGUUUUGGUUGAAUCCGGUGACGGGUGUUUCAGGACACGGGCAGUGCAGAAGCUGAUUGAGAGCCUGAGGACAAGGGAAGAGAUUAGUCUUGUCAUCGAUGCUCUGCGCCCGGGGUUCUUGGAGCUCAUCAAGGAUCCUAAUGGCAAUCAUGUCGUGCAAAAGUGUUUGCAGGCGUUUGAAGCCGACGAUAACAAGGUAUGUAUGUGUGUGCAUCUCGAAUUUCUUAUGCCGCCAUUUGCUCUGAAGUCUAUAGACAUUUUCGGUUCCAGUGGUUACAUCUUCUGUGGAUGAGUUCUUUGUUACAAGAUUUAGUCGAAACAUUUCGAUUCAGAAAAGUGCUGAUGAGUAAGAGUGAUGAAGGGAGAUAGAAGUAAUUCUGUAUUAUGCCAUUGACAUUCUUUUGAUACUGAUUGAUGACAGAUUUGUCUCGGACUGCUUUCACAUGUCUGAAUUUUACAGCUUCACUUUUUGUUGAAGAUCAGAUACUAACUGACAAAUUGCAAUCUUCAGGCGAUAUUUGAUGCUGCUGCACUCCACUGUCUCGAUAUCGGGAUGCAAUGCCACGGUUGCUGUGUCCUACAGCGGUGCAUUGCACGAUCGCGUGGUGAGCACAGGGACAAGCUGGUUGCUGCCAUUGCUGGCAAUGGAUUCAAACUUGCCCAAGAUGCAUAUGGGUAAUAGUCUGUCCAAAAAGUCCUCAAGAUCCGUUAUUGCAUCAUUUCUGGAACCAACUUGCAACAUUUUUAUGAACUUUUAUCAGCUUUAUUUAAGCGUUGUCUGCUAUGGUUGCAGGAACUAUGUUGUUCAGUAUGUAAUAGACUUGAAGAUACCAAAUGCAAAUUCAAGUCUUGCACAACAGUUUGAAGGCAAGUAUAUCCACCUGUCCAUGCAGAAAUUCAGUAGCAAUGUUGUUGAGAAAUGCCUGAAAGUCUUCAAGGAGGUUGACAAGGCCAAGAUCAUACUAGAAAUCCUCGCCACGCCACACUUGGAGCAAUUGCUUCAGCACCCUUAUGCAAACUAUGUCAUCUACUCUGCUCUCCAGAAUUCCAAGGUAAACCUGAUGAAAAGUAUUUUUAUAGUAACUAUUUGUUUUUUUUGAAAUUUAUUACUAUGAUUCCUUCGAGAAAAUUUAUUACUGUGAUGGGGAUUUCAGGGUUCACUUCAUUCUGCACUGACAAAUGCAAUCCGACCUCAUGUGGAACUGCUUAGGACCAGUCCAUACUGCAAGAGGAUAUACUCUCGAGCUUUGCUGAAGAAAUGAUGAGUUGAUGACAGGUUUUCAGCUUGUAACAAGAACGAUUGCUCUCUUGUGAUAUUUGUUUUUUUCAGUUUCAAAAGGCAUAAAGAUGAUCACAAAAUAGAUCUGUAUAAAUUAGUAUUCUUUGGUCAUGUACUUCUACUUGUACCUGUAAUUGAUGCACGGCUUGUGCCUGGUGCUGCAUGAUCAUCUGGGACAGAAUAAAAUUCAAUCGAAAGUAUUCUACAAACUAUUUCAUAUAUAUGUAAUGUUUUACGUUGUUUAUGGCUGCAAAGAUAUUGCUGUUGUUACCUAUUGAUGCAGUUCAUCAUUAAUGCCAUUGCAACUGCGGAUGGAAAUGUGUAAAUGACACCACCCAACAAGACAAAAAAUGUGUUGCAACUUGGUGUCAUCCCAUUUUGAACUAGAAGUAAAAGAACUACACGAGGGCAUGGCAAUAACUUGGUUGUCUGAAAUAACAAUGGAAGCACUAACAUUCAAUUUUUUAUUUUUAUAGCAGUAAAGCGCCUACGAGAAAUCACUCAGAGCAGGCUAUUCGUUUGGCUAAUAAACCAUGGAUAAAAGUACUAGUCGUUGAUUUGUUGUAAGAGAAAAACACUAUUGAAUAUCUAACAGAUUCGACAGAUAAGCUCAAGCAAACAUGCUAAAAUCUGAGUGAUUUCUUGUAGGUGCUUUACUGAUGCCUCAAUCAUUUAAAGUUGUUGCGAUGGAACUGUUGCUAGAACAAUAGCAAACGGAGUAGGAACAUAAAUGAAGCGAAGUGAAUUUAAUGAAGACCAGAUUUAACAAGUCACAAAAGGAGACUAGCACAUAGGAAAUAAAAUAUUCAUUUUUGUAUGAAACAGGAAAUAAAAUAUUCAUACUAACCCAAUAAUGAAAAAUAAGGGGAGAAAGUAUGUCCAACACUGGAGAAGGAAGUAUUUUUUUUUAUGUACUGCUCAUCAUGCACUGAUUUGUUCUAGUAUGUCAUUGAUUUAUAGUAAAAUACUACGGUUUGUUCUGGCGAAGCUCGAGCAGGAAGCUCGGGCAACCAAGUGGCUUCAGAGACGGCAUUAGCCAUACUCAACUUCAACACUGGAGCAGGACCAGAAGACGAGAUUGUCACUAAGGAACACUGCAUAGCCUCAUGCGGACUUGUGUGUAUUCGAACAACCUGUUCAAUCCGCAUCGGAGUAAACUACCACCUUGGACAGAGAGGAGGGACGAAGAACAGUCCCAAGUUGAGGGUACCCCUGAUGUACCGUAGGAUGUGCUUUAGAGCAGCCAGAUGAGGUUCCCGAUCGUGCAUGUAGAGGCAAACCUGCUGAAGAUUUCUGGAGUGAAGGUCAGGUACUGUAAGACACUGGUCAGGUUGCGGAAGUCACUGGGAUCCUGAGUAGGAGUGCCGGCGUCAGCGGACACCUUCAGCUUAGUGUCCACCAGACGGCUACAAGGCUUGCAUACAGCAACAGUCCCCCCUCACCGUUGUCAGAAAUGUUGAACCUGUCCAUAGCAUGCGCCUGAUCAAAGGAGAGAAGCUCGACUUUACCUACGGUUUUUGAUAAUCAUGAUUCAAACUCUUUUUAGUUGGGAGUUGGGACACUAACAAUUUUUGGAUACAACUAAAACAAUUCUUUACCAACUGAUGAUAAAAAUACCUAACACAUGUCAUAUGAAGCAAUGUUCCGCUAGGCGGCACCUAGGCGCGAUUAGGCGCUGGGCGAGGGGUACGCGGCAUCUGGGCGUUGGGUGGCGCCGAGGUGGUCGCAGAGCUGGGCGAGCCGCAAAAUUUCGCCCCCGCAAGCUGAUGGCGUGGCGCGGAGGCGGACGGCGCGGCCUUUCGCGCGCGUGGAUGGCUUCGGCCGUGGGAAUCACGCGAAAUCCCCGCCGCCGCCUCUGUCCUCCUGCUCCACCGCCGGUUGCUACCCCGCCCCAAGGUCAGUCCCCUCCCCUGCUCAUCUUCUCUCCCCCCGCCGGCAACUCCUCCCCUGCUCAUCUCCCCUCCGCCGCCGGCAGCUCCUCCUCUCCUGCUCCUCUUCCUCUCCCCUCCCCUGUUCCUCCCGGCGCCUAGGAAAAUGCCUAGAACGCCUAGGCGCGAUUACUCCCGCCUAGGCGCUAGGCGGAGGGUCACCGCCUAGAAUCCGCCUAGCGCUUAGCUGAACUUUGAUAUUAAGUCAUAUUGUUGAAGCAUAUAUUUUCUUCUUGUAUUUCUUUUUAGGGAAAAAAAUGUGGCCUACAGAAGCUUCUGUAGCAACCAUACCUAAGUAACACGUGUGAAUUGUGUCACUGUGAUACCGCUGUUGCUGGUACGGCAAAACUUAGACGCAAGAAAUAUAAGUUACAACCAAUGAAUUCUCUUAGUUAUGGCAGCUAUUUGAUGCUAAAGGUGCAGAUCAACUUGCAUCUAAAAUCCCUUGACAUGUACAUGUUCCUAACGUCUCCCAAGUCUGGAUCUGCAUAGAAAUGCACAGAACACACAACAUUCCACAACUAAUUACUGACUGCUUCAUCCUGGCUCUGAUUGUUUCUAUUGAUACAUAAAUUAUACUAGAAAGCAAGUGCAACACACCUGUCUUUAUCAAGCAUUAUGUUUUAGGCCAAAUGUGGCAAAAUCCUAAUACAUCGUUUGAACAUCUUCAGUAUCAAUUGUGUAGAAUGAAGGAGAGAUUAGGGGAACACCUCACACCCAACGUGGGGGGGGGGGGUGUGACAUUGAUAUAUAUAGCCAAUGCAAUGGCAGGUUACAUGCAAUACAUGGCAGGUGCCAAUCAUACUAAAUAUAGCAGCCUUGCCUAAUAUACAUUUUCCUAAUGUACAUAUCUAUCAGCCCCCCUCAGUCGAAGCGUCAGGAUGCCGGAUGCACAGACUGGACCGAAAAUCCUCAAAGAGCUCAAUCGGCAGCCCCUUUGUCAUGAUAUCCGCGAACUGAUACUUGGAUGGCACAUGGAGAAUGCGAACCUUGCCAAGAGCCACCUUUUCACAGACGAAAUGGAUGUCGAUCUCAAUGUGCUUGGUACGGCGGUGGUGGACCGGGUUUGCUAUCAUAUAGACAGCGCUGAUCGUUAUCACAGUAGACAACUGUGGCGACCUUCAAGGGAACAUGAAGUUCCUGAAGAAGCUGUCGAAGCCAACAGCAGUCUGCGACCACAUGAACAACAACCCAGUACUCAGUCUCCGCACUGGACCGGGACACUGUGGUUUGCCGUUUGGACAACCAGGACACCAAGCUGUCGCCAAGGACGAUGCAGAAGCCUCAAGCGGGAGUCGGGGCACCCUGCCCAGUCAGUGUCGGAGUAGGCAAUCAGCUUGUCGACAGGCCCAGUGCCGAUGUGGAGGCCAGCCGACAGUGUGCCCUUCACAUACCGAAGUAUGUGCUUGAUCAGCGCAAGGUGAGCUUCGCGCGGAUCAUGCAUGAAGAGGCACACCUGCUACACAGCGUACUGAAGUGAGCCGGCGAGACUCCGAUACGCGUUGGGGUCGGCGACGGGAGCGCCCUCCGUGGCAGAGAGCUUGGCACGAGAGUCGACAUGUGUCGAUGUCGAGUGACACUCGGCCAUGCCCGCCUUCUGAAGAAGAUCCACCGCAUACUGCCUUUGGCUAAGGAAGAGCCCGUCGGAGGAGCGAGUGACGGAGAUCCCCAGGAAGUGAUGGAGCUCCCCAAGGUCCGUCAUGGCGAACUCAGAGUGAAGGCGAUCGAUGAUGCGACGGAGUAGAGCAUUCGAGGAAGCCGUGAGGACGAUGUCGUCGACGUAGAGCAGCAAGUAGGCACUGACGCUGCCCUCAGUGUAGACAAAGAGGGAGGUGUCGAUGGCAGAAGCGACGAAGCCGAGCUGUCGAACAUACGUGGCGAAGCGCUGGUGCCACGCCCGUGGGGCCUGCUUGAGGCCAUAGAGGGAGCGCUGAAGACAGACGGCGUCGGGGUGCGCAGGGUCGAUGAAGCCGGCGGGUAGACGGUCUCGUGCAGGUGACCGUGAAGAAAGGCAUUCUUCACGUCCAGUUGGUGGAUAGGCCAUUGACGAGAAGCAGCGAUGCUGAGGACGACCCAAAUCGUGGCAGGCUUGACGACGGGGCUGAACGUCUCGUCGUAGUCGAUGCCGUGUCGCUGGGCGAAGCCGCGGACAACCCAAUGAGCCCUAUGACGAGCCAGCGUGACGUCGGAGUGGAACUUGUGCUUGAAGAUCCACUUGCCGGUGACGACGUUGGCGCCAGGAGGCCGGGAGACGAGGCGCCACGUGUUGUCGACGAGAGCCUAGUCACGGGGAAUCGGCGAGGCAGUGGAGGAGGCAGCAACGUGAGCAGUUGGUGGGAAGCCGUAACGAUCAACAGGCUUCAGCGAGCCGGUCUGGAAGCGUGUCAUAGGCCGGCUCGAUGUAGGAGGGGCGGAGGAGGCGGAGGUGGCGGGGAAGGCGCCACAACUGGAAUAGAGGCCGGCUGUAUAGGAACAACAGGCGCCUGGUCCAUAGCCGGUGGAGAAGGUUGUGCAGCGGUUGUCACAGGGGCCGGUGCAGAAGUGCCAGCACGCCAUCGAGUGUAGACCCGUAGAGGUGGAGGGCCGGCUGGGGCAGGACCAGCUGGGGCAGGGGCAAGGACCGGGCCAAUUUGUAGAAUGGCCGAGUCCUCGGCAAGCUCCUCCAAAUGAGCACGGUGUCGUGGCUGCGUAGCAUCAGCUGGUGACAGCGUGGCAGUAGUACGAGGCACCGGUGCAGUAGGACCUGUAAGAAGAAAGUACAGAGAGCUUGGCAGCACACUGGGAGGGUUAGUACUAAACGGAAAUUGCGUCUCACCGAAGACAACAUGACGGGAGAUGAUGAUCCAUUUAGUUGUGAGGUCGAGACACCGAUACCCCUUGUGUGAGGAGGGAUAUCUGAGAAAGACACAAGCUAUAGAACGAGGGGACAAUUUGUGUUUGGAAGUGGCGGUGAGGAUGGGAUAGCAGAGGCAACCGAAGACAGGGAGAAUGGUGUAGUCUGGGGGUUGUCGGAAGAGUUUCUCAUAAGGAACCUGAUGCUGAAUGGCUGAACAGGGGCGCCUAUUGAUGAGAUAUGUGGCUGUAGCUAGUGCCUCUGCCCAGUAUUUAGGUGGCAGGUGAGCGUGGAUGAGCAGCGUGUGGCAUAUGUCGUUCAGGGAACAGAUGAUGCGUUCAGUCUUGCCGUUUUGAGAGGUGUAAGGGCAAGAGAGACGUAGGUGAAUGCCGCUAGAGGCAAAGAAGGUGGCGAGGGCAUGGUUGACGAAUUCAGUGCCAUUGUCGGCGCCUUGACAGGAAGGCUAAACUGUGUGGACAAAGGCGCAAAACUGAGUAAUGUGAGUAGCUACCUCGGACUUGUGGACUAGGGGGAAGGUCCAGCAAAAAUGGGUGAAGUCAUCGAGGAUGACAAGGUAGUACUGUGCACCAGAAAUGCUAGCGACCGGGGAUGUCCAAACAUCACAAUGUAUAAGCUCAAACGGUAAAGAGGAAACUGAACUGGAAUUUCCAAAUGGCAGCCGCACAUGCUUGCCAAGUUGACAUGAGUAACAUAGAGUUUGAGCUGAUUUGUUACAGAAAAUCAAAUUAUUUUGUCUAAGCAAAUGGAGGGCAGCGGCUCCUGGAUGACCAAGACGAUGAUGCCAUAAGUUGGUGGAGAUGGUGAGGUUGGCUUGUGGCGUGGCAGGGACGGUGUAGAGGCCGUCGGAGCUAUUGGAGCGAAGAAUCACACGUCUGGUCUGCAGGUCCUUAACAGAAAAACCAAAUGCGUCAAAUUCGAUAGUGCAAUGGUUGUCAUGAGUGAAUUGGCGAACUGAAAGUAAGUUGCGCACUAGAGAGGGGACAACUAGGACACUGUGAAGCAAAAAGGAAGACGCGUGGCCUGGUAAUGUGGAGCUGCUGGAGCAAGAGACAGGAAGAUGAUGACCAUUGCCAACAGUGAUGGAUGGAAUAGAAGAGGGUUGACGAGAGGGGAGUAUACCAUCCAAAUUGUGCAUGUGGGAGGUGGCGCCAAAGUCCAUGACCCAGCCAGAGUUCUGGAGCGCCAUCAGGUUCAAGGCGGCGAUGAGGCCGGACUGAUCCCACACUCGAGCGGAUGGAGCUGUUGGAGGGGGAGCGAAGAUGGUGUGGGUCUGCGGACUGGCGCCCAUGAUGCCCUGGCCGCGCCCGCCCUAGUCACUGUGAGGGGGCCAGCCACCGGUGCUGUUGCCCUGCUGCCACCCACUGCCUGGAGGAGGAACACCGCCCUGGAAGGCCCAUGGGUCGUAGCAGAACCAGGGCCCCAUGGGGCGGUGGCCCCAUUGUUAUCCACUGCCGCUGCCCUGCUGCCAGCUAGCACCGGUGCCUUGGCCGCGCCAGCUGCCCUGUUUAUUGCUGCCCUUGCCCUUCUUGCCACCCCCGGAGCCCUUGGGAGCAGCGCCAGUGGCCAUAGAGGAGGAGGGGCGGCUCCCUGGAGAAGUGCAGGUGGAGCCAGAGGCAGCCACCAUAGCAAAUGCAGUCGUGGUCUUCUCGUCGUUGGCGAGGCGCAACUCUUUGAGGGAGAGCAUUUCUCGUGCCCCAGAGAAGGAAGGCAGCACGGUGGAGUUGGCGAUGUCGUCGACAGUGGCGGUGUAGCGCGGGUUGAGGCCGCGAAGGAGGCUGAGGAUGAGCUGGGAGUCCUCGAUUGUGUGAUUGACGUCCCGGAGGGCAGCAGCCUUGAUCUUGAGCCUCUGGUAGUACUCGUCGAUCGACGAAUCACCCUGCUUCAGGGAGUGGAAUUCCUCCAACAGGAAGACGGCCCGGGGCGCACGAUUGGAGCGGAAGAGUCCCUUGAUGGCGACCCACAACUCGCAGGCAGUCUGGUUCUCGUCAGUGAUGGCGAGGUCGAGAACCGAGUCAUCGACGGUGUUGAGGAUCCAGCCACGGACGGUGCACUCUGCGAUGUCCCACGAUGGAUCCGCAGCCACAGGAGGAGGCCCGUCGAUGUGGGGACGGAGGCUGAAUUUCCCGCACAGAGCCUUGAAGAACGAAGCCCACUUGGUGAAGUUGGGGUUCUUCAUCUCCAGGGUCACCGGGAUGUGAGUUUUCACAUUGACGGCUGUGUAGGGGUGGACGAUGACAGCCUGGGGUGGAGCUUUGGCAGCUGCGGCGGCGGCAGCGGCAGCAGCAACGACUGCGUCGUCGUCGCCAGGCAUGGUUGCCGGGAGAGGUGGAGGGGAAGAGGAGCGGAGGCAGAAGGUCCGGAUCAGGGAUCAAUUGAUCGCGGCUGAUACCAUGUAGAAUGAUGGAGAGAUUAGGGGAAUAGCUCACACCCAACGUGGGGUGGGGGGUAUAGCCAAUGCAAUGGCAGGUUACAUGCAAUACAUGGCAGGUGCCAAUCAUACUAAAUAUAGCAGCCUUGCCUAAUAUACACUUUCCUAAUGUACAUAUCUAUCAAAUUGUUAUAAUGCGGGGGGGGGGGGGGGUUCCUAUUUAGCUGUUAAUGGUACACCUUGUAAGACAUAAUCUGCUGAUCCGAUUGCAAUUGUUUUGCUUUACUGGUACAAUCAGGAACUGUAGAUGAUCAGGAUCAGCAAUCAGCUAAUCGGUUCUGGUACUGUUUACAGUAUGGCAAUAGGCCACUACUGUAGCCAUUAGUUGAAGGUACAUCAGAAAUAGUGUUGUACUAGGAGUAGGCAGGGCUGUACCAGCCAUGAUCUAUGUACCUGUAUAGAGGUACUAGAUAUGUGUAUAAAUAUGUAUGCAAUACAUCAAGCAAAGGCAGCUCAUUUGCCACCAACAUUCAGAGUUCAAAGUUUCAGCCCACGCUAAAACUUGAGUGUUCAAAAGGUUCAGAAUUUCAGCCCAUGCUGAAACUGCUGAACUGGGUGUGUGCUGGGUUCUUCUCUUCUUCUACCUUGGUCCAAGGAGUGAAGUAGAGGUGGUAAGCAGCUUGCUUACCUGUUGUGGUUGUGCAUAGACCAACAAGUGGUAUCGAAGCCGUACAAGGGCGCAUCAGGCUUAACUGCCGACGAUGGCCAACGAUACAGAGGUGGCACCAGGCACCGAGACCAGCUCUGGCUCAGGAGCUGAGCAACUGACUGGUGGAGGCGGGGAGAUGGUCACACAGAUCGUGACCGAGGUGCGCACGGUCGAGAGGUGGGGAGCACCACCUGGCUGACGCUCACCCGCACCAACUACGGCGACUGGGCUGUCCACAUGAAGUGGAAGCUCCGUGCACAGAAGUGGUGGGUGGUGGUGGAGCCUGGCGGCGCCAGUGAGGAUGUGGAGGUGGGAGCCAUGGAGGCUCUGCUGGCGUCCACGCCGCCGGAGUUCCAUCAGCCGAUUGGCGCCAAAGGGAACGCCAAGGACGCCUAGGAGAUGCUGGCGUCGAUCCGCCUCGGCUCGGAGCGAGUGCGGAAGGCGAAGACGCAGCAGUUGCGGCGGGACUUCAAGGAUCUCAAGUUCCGCCAAGGGGAGACGGUGGAGGAGUUCGCCCUGCAGCUGCAGGGGCUGGCCAGCCAGCUGGCCACCUACGGGAAGCCGAUGGAGGAUGAGGACGUCGUCUUCAAGCUGCUGCGGGUCGUGCUGCCCAAGUACGUGCCGCUGGUGUUGUCCAUGGAGACCAUGCUCGACCUCUUCACGCUCACGCUGGAGGACGCGGUCGGGCGGCUGCGCACCAUGGAGGACCGCGCACCCGUGGUCAUAGAGAAGACCAAGGGCGGGCAGCUGCUCAUGACGGAGGCCGAAUGGACCGCUCGCCAGGAGAAGUGGCGGACCGAGGAAGGCCCGAGCAGAGGUGGCGGCGCGGAGGCGGACAAGCGCCGCGUCAAGGUGCCACAGGGGAAGAAGUACACCGGCCCCAACGCCUGCCGGCGCUGUGGGAAGGUGGGUCACUGGGCGCGAGUGCCCCGAUCGUAAGAUGGAGAAGAAAAAGGAGGCGCACCUGGCGGCUGCAGACAACGACGACGACGAGCACGCACUCAUGAUGGCGGAGUACUGCGCGCUCCAAGGCAAAGCAGGGGAUUGCUGCGCAGGCCAUCGAUCUUGACGAGCCACGUCCGCAGGUCCAUCUGGGGGCGAUCGGCGACGAGCUGGAGCAGCGCUGGUACUUGGAAUCUGGCGCGAGCAACCACAUGACAGGGUGCCGCGCCGCCUUCUCCGAGCUGGACAAAAAGACCACCGGGAGCGUCAAGUUCGGCGAUGGCUCCCGGGUGGUGAUCCGCGGCCGCAGCACUGUCCUGUUCCGGUGCCGGAACGGUGAAGACCGGGCGCCAACGGACGUCUACUAGAUCCUGCAACUGAAGACGAGCAUCAUCAGCCUUGGGCAGUUGGACAAGUGCGGUGCUGAGGUGCUGAUCAAGGGCGGCGUGCUGCGGAUUCGUGAUCAAGAGCGGCGGCUGCCGGCUAAGGUCACAAGGUCGAAGAACCGGCUAUUCUUGUUGGACCUAAAGGUCGAGCAGCCUGUGUGCUUGGCGUGCACGGAGGAGCCGUGGUUGUGGCAUGGCCGGUUCAGGCAUUUGAAGUUCAACGCGCUAGGCAAGCUGGUGGCGAUGGUGAGGGGAAUGCCAAAGAUCCAGCACGCCGGCGAGCUUUUACGACAGCUGCCUGGUAGGGAAGCAGAGGAGGCUGCCAUUCCCCAAGGUGGCAAGGUACCACGCCGGUGAGAACCUAGAGCUCGUUCACGGCGAUCUGUGCGGGCCCAUCACUUCGGCCAUGCAUGGCGGGCGGAGGUACUUCCUCCUGUUGGUGGACGACUGCAGUCGCUACAUGUGGCUGCAGCUCCUGACAAGCAAAAGGGCGAGGCAGCGGACGUCAUCAAGCACUUCAAGGCGAAGGUGGAGGCAGAGUCCGGGAAGAAGCUGAGGGUGUUGCGGAUGGACCGUGGCGGCGAAUUCACGGCGAUGGAGUUCGCCACCUACUGCGCGGAGGAGGGAGUGGAGCGCCAUCUCACGACGUCCUACUCACCGCAGCAGAACAACAUGGUGGAACACCAGGACGUCCUAC